GGGACUGUAUGUUGGGCUUGUUGGAGAAUAAGAUGGAGAUGUCGGAGAAUAUGAAGGGGACGUGGGGCUGGAAAAUGAAACAUUAGACAUAUGCUUGGAGUAAAAAAUUAACAAAAACUAAAUGUGCAGCCAAACUCAAGUUUUUGACUAAAAACACAGGGGGACUCUGUUUGAACUUUUAAGGUUCUGUAUUCAAUAUAAAAAAUAAAUAUUUAAGAAGUUCAGAGGAUUACUCACCUGUAGUUUGGGGAUGUGGGACUAUAUGGACUUGAUGGAGACAAUCUUGGACUGCUUGGAGAAUAUGCUAACGAAGGACUAUACUUUGCUGACUGUAGAUUGUAACUUGGGGAAGUAGGACUAUACGUUGGGGAUGUUGGGCUAUAUGAGGGUGACGUAGGGCUGUAUCCAGGUGACGUGGGGCUGUAGGCAGGGGAUGUAGGGCUAUAUGAUGGGGAGGUCGGGCUGUAAGAGGGUGAUGUGGGGCUGUAGGAAGGUGAAGUAGGACUAUAUGAAGGUGAUGUAGGACUGUAGGAAGGUGAAGUCGGACUAUAAGCAGGUGAAGUGGGGCUAUAGGCAGGUGAAGUGGGGCUGUAUGCAGGUGAAGUGGGGCUGUAGCUGGGAGAUGUGGGGCUAUAACUGGGUGAUGUGGGGCUGUAGCUGGGUGACGUGGGGCUAUAGCUGGGUGAUGUGGGAGAGUAGGAUGGACUGGUAGGCGAAUAAGCCGGACUUGUAGGACUAUAUCCUGGAGAACUAGGGCUAUAUGUCGGAGAGGUCGGACUGUAACCUGGUGAUGUAGGGCUGUAGCCCGGAGAUGUGGGACUGUACCCAGGUGAUGUGGGGCUGUACCCAGGCGAUGAUGGACUAUAGCCUGGGGAUGAUGGACUGUACCCAGGAGAUGAGGUGGGAGAAAAUGCCAUCCCACCAACAUAAGGUGAAAAUUGGGCAUCCGAUGUGGGAGACAGACGCAAAUUUGGACUC
This 978-nucleotide long non-coding RNA is filed under the name Phaseolus vulgaris (common bean). Its description in RNAcentral is "long non-coding RNA (PVUL_LNC004455)". The record is from RNAcentral. Lineage: Eukaryota; Viridiplantae; Streptophyta; Magnoliopsida; Fabales; Fabaceae.